Molecule: ribosomal RNA, 637 nt
Filed under: uncultured bacterium
Lineage: Bacteria
Description: bacterial SSU rRNA
Rfam family: Bacterial small subunit ribosomal RNA
Source: RNAcentral
ACUCUCUGAUGGCGACCCGUUCAAGGGUGCGUAACGCGUGAGCAACUUGCCCUCAUCAGGGGAAUAAUCGCUGGAAACGGCGUCUAAUGCCCCAUGGUGAUGUCCUCAGGCAUCUGAGGUCAUCUAAAGAUCCGUCGGAUGGGGAUAGGCUCGCGUGACAUUAGCUAGACGGCGGGGUAACGGCCCACCGUGGCGACGAUGUCUAGGGGUUCUGAGAGGAAGGUCCCCCACACUGGAACUGAGACACGGUCCAGACUCCUACGGGAGGCAGCAGUGAGGAAUAUUGGUCAAUGGCCGGAAGGCUGAACCAGCCAUGCCGCGUGAAGGUCAGUGCCCUAUGGGCGUUAAACUUCUUUUGUGCGGGAGCAAUAAUGGUCACGCGUGGCCCGAUGAGAGUACCGCACGAAUAAGCAUCGGCUAACUCCGUGCCAGCAGCCGCGGUAAUACGGGGGAUGCGAGCGUUAUCCGGAUUUAUUGGGUUUAAAGGGUGCGUAGGCGGCGCUUCAGGUCAGCGGUGAAAUACCGGGGCUCAACCCCGGGGCUGCCGUUGAAACCGGAGCGCUAGAAUUCCGAUGCCGUCAGAGGAAUGUGUGGUGUAGCGGUGAAAUGCAUAGAUAUCACACAGAACACCGAUUGC